This is a long non-coding RNA of Ornithodoros turicata, 663 nucleotides long. RefSeq lists it as uncharacterized. The record is from RefSeq and is a predicted model, not a curated record. The transcript has 3 exons. Lineage: Eukaryota; Metazoa; Arthropoda; Arachnida; Ixodida; Argasidae.
GCUCCAUCAAGUACUGUUCCUAUGGGCAUUAACAUCGUGUUGCUUUUCGGAGCAGCAGUGGCUCGCCGUAAUAUAACCGGCUUAGCCAAGCGGAUCCUAUGGACAUUGGCAGGCUGUGAUGGCACUGACUAUUAAUAGCUUUGUCACACAACGGGAUCGGCACCCUCAGUUGCUGUUUCAAGUCGCUGGCUCCGGCAAACAAAUGUUUCCGUAAUUUUUUGUUCAAGAAGAGAUGACAAAGAAUGGCAUGGGCGCAUCAUCGACGCGCAGUCACUUGGAAAUUCGAGACGAGCGAGGGAGCACAAUCCGCCUGUCCUUCUACAACGCGGUUGUCACAUUCGUCAUUCUGCUCGGAAUCCUUAUGAUCCUGUCCGGUAUCACCAUGGCCAUCAUCACCAGCCUCCUCGUCGGAUCUAUCCUCAUUUGUCCCGGGGUCAUCCUUGUGUGCCUCACGGCCAUGCUCAUGAUGAGAAUUGAGAGGGCCUGGCAGGAGCAUCGGUACGCCUCACUGGCGGAGGAGGAAGCCUUUUACGACGACAGACCCCGACAAGAUGUUCGCGUUCAUAAGCAGGGUCACAGUACGAGGGGCAAGACGCUUAAUAAAUGACGACGCGAUAACCUGGGAUUCAAAUAUAAUAUCAUUUCAAAUAAAUUACGAGCGUU